RNAcentral lists this ribosomal RNA (439 nucleotides) under Listeria monocytogenes. Its description in RNAcentral is "bacterial SSU rRNA". It matches the Rfam family "Bacterial small subunit ribosomal RNA", at positions 1 to 428 of the family's 1533-position model. The record is from RNAcentral. Lineage: Bacteria; Bacillati; Bacillota; Bacilli; Caryophanales; Listeriaceae.
UUUAAAGAGAGUUUGAUCCUGGCUCAGGACGAACGCUGGCGGCGUGCCUAAUACAUGCAAGUCGAACGAACGGAGGAAGAGCUUGCUCUUCCAAAGUUAGUGGCGGACGGGUGAGUAACACGUGGGCAACCUGCCUGUAAGUUGGGGAUAACUCCGGGAAACCGGGGCUAAUACCGAAUGAUAAAGUGUGGCGCAUGCCACGCUUUUGAAAGAUGGUUUCGGCUAUCGCUUACAGAUGGGCCCGCGGUGCAUUAGCUAGUUGGUAGGGUAAUGGCCUACCAAGGCAACGAUGCAUAGCCGACCUGAGAGGGUGAUCGGCCACACUGGGACUGAGACACGGCCCAGACUCCUACGGGAGGCAGCAGUAGGGAAUCUUCCGCAAUGGACGAAAGUCUGACGGAGCAACGCCGCGUGUAUGAAGAAGGUUUUCGGAUCGUAA